This 444-nucleotide ribosomal RNA is filed under the name Escherichia coli. RNAcentral's name for it is "partial 23S ribosomal RNA". It matches the Rfam family "Bacterial large subunit ribosomal RNA", at positions 418 to 864 of the family's 2925-position model. Lineage: Bacteria; Pseudomonadati; Pseudomonadota; Gammaproteobacteria; Enterobacterales; Enterobacteriaceae. The record is from RNAcentral.
CGGGACACGUGGUAUCCUGUCUGAAUAUGGGGGGACCAUCCUCCAAGGCUAAAUACUCCUGACUGACCGAUAGUGAACCAGUACCGUGAGGGAAAGGCGAAAAGAACCCCGGCGAGGGGAGUGAAAAAGAACCUGAAACCGUGUACGUACAAGCAGUGGGAGCACGCUUAGGCGUGUGACUGCGUACCUUUUGUAUAAUGGGUCAGCGACUUAUAUUCUGUAGCAAGGUUAACCGAAUAGGGGAGCCGAAGGGAAACCGAGUCUUAACUGGGCGUUAAGUUGCAGGGUAUAGACCCGAAACCCGGUGAUCUAGCCAUGGGCAGGUUGAAGGUUGGGUAACACUAACUGGAGGACCGAACCGACUAAUGUUGAAAAAUUAGCGGAUGACUUGUGGCUGGGGGUGAAAGGCCAAUCAAACCGGGAGAUAGCUGGUUCUCCCCGAAA